Molecule: long non-coding RNA, 264 nt
Filed under: Dermacentor andersoni
Lineage: Eukaryota; Metazoa; Arthropoda; Arachnida; Ixodida; Ixodidae
Description: uncharacterized LOC126535579
Source: RNAcentral
GAAGACAACUCAGACAUCGCAAGUGCAAGUGAACGUGGCAGAGGAAAAAGGAAAAAGAAAAGAAGGCUCUACAGUGACGAAGACGAGAUUCCACUCCCGCAGCCACCACAGUCUAUGCAGAAACGAGCAACACAUGGUAUUACAGAAAGAUCUGCAGCGAUGGAACCGUCAAGUAUUUUGACUGUUUCACAGCACUCGGCAUAUAAUGAAAGAACGCAUGGUACUGCAAAGCGGUCUGCAAAGGAGCCACUGCACUCGUGGAAC